RNAcentral lists this long non-coding RNA (7635 nucleotides) under Gossypium barbadense (sea-island cotton). RNAcentral describes it as "long non-coding RNA (GBAR_LNC003298)". Lineage: Eukaryota; Viridiplantae; Streptophyta; Magnoliopsida; Malvales; Malvaceae. The record is from RNAcentral.
AAAACAUCAAAAUUAAAGCCCACUUCCUUAGAAAGUUCCACACCUGUCCCUCCAUAAUUUCCUGACAGUUUAUCUUUCCCAAAAGCUCCCUUUCCUAUUCAAAACAACACUCCCUUAAUAUCCUAAGAAUCAUCUUUUCAAAACAUGUUACUCCAACAUUUUGAUUUCCAUAGAGCAGACCUUCAUUUUCCUCACAAAACCUCAGUCUAGUUCUUUGACCCAUUCGUCCUCUAGCAUUUUGACUGCAUGCCUUGGUACCACUCCUUCCAGGUAAAAUCCUCUCAUUUGCUUUAGACUUUCAAUGGCUAUGAUGUCUGCCAAAGUGUUUGCUAUUUGAUGGACAUGUUGAAAUUUUACGUCUUCAUAACAUGUGCAUGUGCCUCUACUGCGAAAGUCAAAUUAACAUUCUCGUGUAUGAUCGCUCUAAAGGCAAUCACUCUUCCUUUUCUGUUUCUGGCAACUAUCCCCGAGCUUGAUCUAAAAAGAUCUUGAUUAAACCCUGCGUCAAAAUUAAUUUUUAUGUCUUCUCCAGCAAUUGGGACCCAUGAGUCUCUAAUUUGUGCCUUUGUAAGUCCAGUUUCCUCUAGUCUGUCCAACUCUAUUUUGUAAUUUUGAAUAAAAGAGACAAUAUCUUUACUGGAUUUCUUUAUCUUUUCAUGUACAUAUUUGUUUCUCUCUGUCCAAAGGACCCAAAGGGAUACACAGAUCAUUCGCUUCUGGGAAUUUAAGUAAUUAUCAAAAGCCCAGGUAAGCCAUUCAAACUAUUCAGGCACCAUACUCUGAUUUAGCCAUUCUAAGUUCACUAAUAGCCAUACUUCUACUGAAACAGGAUAGUAAAGAAAAACAUGCAUUAUGUUUUCUGCUGCUUCCCUACAUCUUAGGCAGUUUGUAUUUGUUAUUAAUCUCUUGAAAUGUAGAUUUACUUUAGUGGGCAUGUAGUUUUUUGAGAUGUGCCAUACUAUAAGCAUAAUUUUAGAAGGGAGUAUUAGACUCCACAAUGCUCGAUAGAAAUUCCUAGAUGAUAGUUGUAAAGUGUUUAAUGUAGGAGUAGGAAUACCAAUCUAUAAUAGUUUAUAAGCACUCUGCACUGAGAAUACUCCCGAUGGUUCACCCCUCCAGGUGACUUCAUCUUCUUGUGAAAUUGCUGCUAAUGGGAGACGAAGGAUCCUACCCGUAUCAACCGUGUUAAAGGUUUUGGAGAUUAUUUCUUUCCUCCAUUCUCUCUUAUUAUUAUCAAUAAGCUGUGCAACAUACUCCAAAUUACAAUUAAUAACUAGAUGACUUAACCUAUAAUUUUCAAAACCUAGUAACCAUGCAUGAUUAAAAAUGGAGACAUUAUCGCCUUUUCCCACUCUCCAACAUGUUCCUUCCUGAAGCACUUUCUUCGAUACCCAUAUACUUUUCCAUGUGUAAGACGCAUUUGGUUUUAAUGUUGCCUACAAAAAAUCCGAAUUUGGGUAAUAUUUGGCUUUAAGAACUUUUACAAAUAAUGAUUCUGGGUUCAUAACAAGUCUCCAUCCUUGUUUUGCUAAUAAGGAUACAUUGAAAUUUGCCAAAUUUUGAAAACCCAGACCUUCGUUUUCCUUCAAUUCACAUAACUUUCCCCACUUACACUAAUGUAAACCCCUUUGUUCUUGAGAUUUCUACCACCAAAACCCGGCCAUUAUUCCUUCCAUUUCUUUACAGAGUGUUUUUGGGAGUAAAAAGCAUGUCAUAGAAUAGGUUGGAAUAGAUUGUAAAACUGCUUUAAUAAAAACUUCUUUUCCUCCUUGCGAUAAGAAUCGUGUGCUCUAAUUAUCAAUUUUUCUUUUCUUUCGAUCCUUUAAGGUUUGAAAAGAGGCUUUUUUUCCUUCUAUCAAUUAUAUUAUCAAUUAUAUUAGGGAUAGCCAAGUACUUCUCUGCAUUAUUUGAAUAUCUCACUCCCAUAUCGUUAGAUAAUUGUAGUCUCACAUUUUCGAGAGUAUUUGCACUAAAGAAAACUGUAGAUUUUUCAAAAUUUAUACAUUGUCCUGAGCAGUCUUCAUACUCUUUCAAUAUGUUUUUCAAGGCGAUUACUCCUCUAGUUGUAGCUUCUCCAAAGAGUAUGCAAUCAUCGGCAAAAAGUAGGUGUAAAAUUGAUGGCCCACUUUAACUUGUCCUAACCUCCUUUAGUUUUCUCUCUUUUAGCUAGACGCAUAAAAGUAGAUAAACCCUCACUGCAAAUCAGAAAAGAGAAAAGGGCUUAAUGGGUCCCCUUGCCUUAGCCCCCUUGUAGGUCGAAACUUCUCUCGUCUUAGCUCGUUUAUGCUUACUAAAUAUGAAACAGUUGAAAUGCACUCCAUCACCAUAUCUACCCAGGCCUUCGCGAAACCCGUUUCAGUCAUCAUUUCUCACAAAAAACCCCAUUCCACAUAAUUGUAAGCUUUACUCAUGUCCAAUUUUAAGGCCAUUAACCCUUUACUUCCUCCCCUUUUUUGACCAAAAGUAUGCAAAACUUCAUAUGCUAAUACGAUAUUGUCUGAUAUCAGUCUGCCCAGGACGAAAGCACUUUGUGAGUUAUCCAUACAUAAAUCAAGGACCAUUUGUAAGCAGUUUGCCACCAUUUUACUUACAACCUUAUAGAUGACCUUACACAAGUUAAUAGGUCGAAAACUAGUCAUAUUGAUAGGGUUUUGGGUCUUCGAGAUUAUAACUAUAUUAGUAACAUUUAGUUUAUCCAUGCUCUUUCUUCUGUUAAUGACAUGUAAGCAAAAUAAACUAACCUCUUUUCUGACAAUAUGCCAACAACGUUGAAAAAAAGGGCCGAAAAAUCGUCAAUACCUUGCUUAAGCCCUUUUUUCAGACAAUAUGCCAGCAACCUCUUUUCUAUUUGAUAUUUGGGCUCCAUCUCAUCAAACUUCUACCUAAACCCUUUAAUUUUUGUAAUAAAUCCCCAAUUGUCAUACUCCAAAUUCUUUAAACUUCCUCCUCAAGCGUCUAUUCCAUCAUCCACCAAGCUUCAAAAUAAAAGUCUUUUUUAUUCCUCUAUCUACCUUGUUGUUCUAAUUGAAUUAGGAAAGGGCAAUGGUCAGAGAAUGAAUGUGGUAGAUGACUAAUUGAAGCAUGGAUAAAUUGUAAUAGCCAACUUGUAUUUGCCACUCCCCUAUCAAGUCGCUCCCUUAUAUUGGUUUCCAACGAAUUUCCCCUUUUUCCAUGUAAACCAUGGGCCUGAGAAACCCACAUCAUAAAGGCCACAUUCCGGUAAUAUUUCUCGAAAUUGCUCUAUUCGUUUUCUUCUCUUGGUUGGCCACCCUUUUUCUCAGAUGCGUAUAGAAUUUCAUUGAAGUCUCCACAAACUAACCAUGUAAGAUUAAAAUUCAUACUCAGUCUUCAUGGCACGAGUCAUUUCUUCCGUUUGCAUAUAGAGAACCGUAAAAUCUCGUGAAACGCCAUUCCAAUUGCUGCUCUUCUGAUUUGAUCAUCACGUUUAUAUAGUUUCUUAAGAAGCUUUGUAAUGUAAUAUCCUCCUCUUCUUUCCAUGCUAAACACAAACCUCCCUUAGUCCAAUCCGCUCCCACCUCAAUUCCGUUAAUGAAAUUGUACCUCAUUAUGAUUGAUUCCAUCUUACUCUUAUCAAUUUUUGUCUCUAUAAAGAAAACAAUUUAGGUUUUAUAUAACUUUAGUACAUUCCAAAGUCUACGUACUGCCCGUGGGUUUCUCAAACCACGGACGUUUCAGCAUAAAAUUUUCAUUGCGCCCGAUCAGCAAGCCGACAGGCUGCCGCUGGUCCUAUUUGAGAUGAAAUUUUUUCUUCCUCUAUCUUGUCACCUUUUCCAACCAUGUUUUCUUUAAUUUUUAGUUCCCCCACUAUUUUUUUCCCUUUUACUUUUAGCCGUAUUUGGGUUGUUCAAUUCUGUAUUCUCGAGAUUAUCCCAAUCCUCUUUUAUUUUCUGACAGAUAGGUCCCCUUCACUUUGAUCCAUUGGUGCGCUGUUUCUUAUUCUUCUCCAUCCUUUUUGUGGCCCCUUAAGUCCAUCAAUAAUAUUUUGAGAGAAAACUAUUUGGCCCAUUUUCAUAGCUGGAGAAAAAUUGGCCUACGUUGAAUGCCCAUUAUGUUCUCUUGUAUCCUUAAUAGGACUUUGAGGGUGUGAGAUUUCUAUGUUACGUUUCGCAUUACCCUCACUCCAAGCUUUCUCCUUAUCUUUUUCCUUAAAAUCUUAUCGUAACCAAUUUGAGUUCAAGUUGGUAUCGACCUCUAAUAUUCCCAAACUGCCCUUCAUCGGCGUCCCCUUUCUCCCCUGAACAGUAUUAGAAAUUGAAUUGUCCUCUAUUCCUUCAUUAGAUAUUCCUAAGUAGUAGCGUUAUGGCAUUGAUUUAUUCAUGGUGACUCACAGCUGCAUACUGACUUUCCCUAUCAAAUUUGAUUCGGCUUUCAGGGCUAGCGAGAAAGGUAGAUCCUCUUUCGGUAAUUCCUUAGAUUCAUCUAGAGUGUCAUUGCAAUCCUUUAUCUCAUAUCCCAUACGUCCGCAUCCAAAUCAAAAACUAGGCAAAAUUUCAUAUUUAAAAGGAAUCUAAGAUUUUUCUUGCUUACCUACUAGAAUGAAGAUCCCCCUACGUAAUGGCUUUUGAACAUCUAACUCCUCUUUUAUGUGGCAAAAAUUCCCCCAUUAAUCCUGAGCUAAUGAUUCCUCCAAAAGUGGAUCCAAUUGUAUGUGCAAGGUCUUUUUUGUCACAUUUAGGUGGACAAUUACCUAUUUUAAGCCAAAAAGGAUAUUGAACCAAAUGAAUAUUGCUUAUCUCUAUCGGUUUUUUUAGUUUUUUUUUUAAAUUACCAAAUUUCAUCUAAAAUACCAUGGUCUUCUUGCCAUUAUUAAUUCCAAAUCUACCACAUCUUCAAAUUCAAUCUUGAAUAAGUUUUGGCCAACAAUCUGAGUCUCAAAUUUUUUUUGUUUUCCAAAUACUCUUUAAUUGAGCUCUAAAGCUAUCCAGAUUGUAUGAUUUUGUCAUCCAUACCGUCCCUAAAAGAGUCAACUUUCCAUUGGAGACUACCAGUGAACUUUUGACUGUUAUAUGUACCAAUUAUUCUUCCAGAAGAGAGAUAUCAUCUCUUAACAUAGCUAUCUUCGUCACCACCUACUCACUACCCAACCACAACAAACCUGUUUCUUUGGGAGACUAACGAGAGAGCACUAUUGAGCCGAAAUCUUAUAAUUGAAUAUAAGGUGAGAAAUGAUAUAUUAGAAAAUUAUUGAAUAUUUAUGAGAUAUGAUAUAUAUGCAAUUUCAGCAUUAUUAUGAAUUGUUACAAACCGUGUAUCGAUAAAUAUGAAAGUGAUUAAUAGAUGAUGUUAAUAUUUGUGAUGGCACAUUGACAGUGUGAAUAUAUGUAUUGAUAUUAUAACAUGUGCACGGAAACGAUGAAGUGCCCUUGAAUGAUAAAUAUGUUUAAAAGAAAUGGAUUCAUGAAAUGCUUGGUUGAACCUAGUAAUCACUAGGAUGCAAUUGGAAUGCCAAUAGGGUUAGAAUGCAUGCUUGUACGGGAUUUGCACUUUGAUGCCCUUGUUUGCACUUUGGUGCCCCUGUAUACACUUUAUUGUCUUUAUUCACACACGGUGCCUUCGUUUGCAUAUUUGUGCCCCUGUUUGCACUUCGGUGUCCCUGUUAUGCAUCUAUGAUGCCUUUGGUGUGGUGUAGUUACCCGAGUAUGCGAGCCAAGUUACUAAUUCGUCGGGCUAACUGUGAAUGGAAUUUAUAAAAUUAUUUUAAUGUUAAAGGCUAAUGUAUAGUCAAGAUAUUAGUAAGUAUUAAAUGUUAAAUGUUCAAUGAAUUACUUGAUCCUAUGUGAGUAUCGUUAUAUUGAUGAUUAUUCAGUUAAAGAUAUAUGUUUAUAUACAUAUAUAAAUGAGUUUGGGUUGAAUUAUUAUAGUACAGGAAGCAUAUGAUGAAUCAUUUUCAAUACUAAGCCUAUAAGUGCUUCGUAAAUGUAUAACAGAUAUGAUUAAUUUAUUCAUUUAGAUUUAAUCUUGUUUAGUGAAGGUAAGUGAUUCCAGAAUGACAUGUUUAUAGGAAAGUUUGAGACAAAUGAUGAAUUAUAGAAUGAUUAUUAGUUAAAUGUGAAAGAGUUACGUUUAAGUGCACUAGCUUGUGGUUAUGGUUGAUGUUUAUACUUAUAUCUUGUGAGUUAUGCAAAUAAAACAAGUGAGAUUAGAUAUGGAAAUGAUAAGUUCAUAGAUGUGACCAAAUAUGAUGAAAUAAAAAGGAUUGUCGAGUUAAAGGACUUACUUGUAAGAAAGGAAAUUACUUAUGAUAUAUGUGACUUUACAUAUCUCAUGAAUAGAUAUACUGAUUCAUGAAUUGAUACAUAAUUAAGCUUAUGCUAAGUAAUUGGAAUAGUAAGUAAAUAAAUGAAAUGGUUCAUUGUUUUAAGAAAAGUUUGAUGAUUAUGUAAUUCAGCUUAUAAGACUUUAUUAUGGUAUAAAUAGAAAGUAUUAGGGAUGUUAAUAAACCUAUUCAUUUGUGAGUUGAUAGUUAUAUAGUUUGAUAAAUCUUAAAGCAUUGGUAUAGGUUUAUUUAUGACUUAUAAAGUUCAUAUUUAAAAAUGGAAUGUUAUGUUUAAAAUUUAUACGAAUUUACUAAGCAUUCAUUGCUUAUGUGGUUGUCUUUCUCUUACUUUACAGAUUAUCAGAAGCUCGAUCGGUUUGGAAGCUAGUUAGAGAUCUAUCACACUAUCCAACGAUUAUAAUGGUAGAUUUUGAUGUUCUGAUCAAAGUUAUAAUGGCAUGUAUAGGUGGACUUGUGUUUUAUGUUAGUUGAUGAGUUUGGCAUGUAUAUGUCAUUUUGGUUGAUGUAACCUUGGUACCUUUGAUGCCUAUUUGGUGUAUGUUAUUUUGAUAAGGAGUUGAUGCAUGUUUGAAUAACCAACUUGGUAUGUUUGAAUGUGACUUUGGUAUGUGGUCAUUGUGGUAAGAUUGGUAUUGAAUUAGGUUAGAAAUGUAUAGUUGAUGAAUGGCUAAAUUAUGCAUAUGUUUAAGUACAUUUGAUCGUUGUGAUUGAGGUGCAUUUGGGCAUAUUGGUUGUAUAGAUAAUUGACAUUUUGAUUUAACUACAUUAUGUAUGUUUUAGGUAUUUUUUUUGAAUGUUUGAAAUAGGUACAAAUGGUUUGUAUGUAUGAGCAUGUUUAGAGUGAAUGAAAUGGCUUGAAAAUGGCAUAUUUCUCGUCCACACGGCCUAAGACAUGGGCGUGUGUCUCAGCUGACACACGGUCACGCAAAACAGCUAUGUCUCUUGUAGGUUUUUAUAUGUUGCUUUUCGAGCAUUACACGGGUUGACACACGGGUGUGUGGCUUGGCCGUGUGACCCGAGUUAAGGAGUCACACAGGCACGGGCUCGAGUUGGGACAUGGUCGUGUGUCUCUCCUUUGAAUAACCACACAGCCUAAGACACGGGCGUGUGUCUCAGUCGUGUGAUUCACACGGCCUAGCCACACAUUCGUGUGACCCUUGUAGUAUGUAUAACAACCCAUUUUUCAGUGAAAAUCGGAACAGUGGUUUCAGAACCACAAAUUCGAUCCGAAAAUAAAAUUUAUUUUUAUUUUAUUACAUGGUCCAUAAUAUGUUGGAAAGGUCAUGUGAAAAUCCCGAUAAGAAAAUUUUAUCGAUUAUGUGUCUAAUUAAGGAAAG